GGCCGGUUAGCUCAGUCAGUUAGAGCGUGGCGCUGAUAACACGAAGGUCACGGGUUCAAUCCCCGUUCAGUCUC
Molecule: non-coding RNA, 74 nt
Organism: Apaloderma vittatum (bar-tailed trogon)
Lineage: Eukaryota; Metazoa; Chordata; Aves; Trogoniformes; Trogonidae
Source: Rfam